This 253-nucleotide ribosomal RNA is filed under the name uncultured bacterium. RNAcentral describes it as "partial 16S ribosomal RNA". It matches the Rfam family "Bacterial small subunit ribosomal RNA", at positions 524 to 776 of the family's 1533-position model. The record is from RNAcentral.
UACGGAGGGUGCAAGCGUUAUCCGGAUUCACUGGGCUUAAAGGGUGCGUAGGCGGGCCCGUAAGUCAGUGGUGAAAUCUCCGGGCUUAACCCGGAAACUGCCAUUGAUACUAUUUGUCUUGAAUACUGUGGAGGUCAGCGGAAUAUGUCAUGUAGCGGUGAAAUGCUUAGAUAUGACAUAGAACACCAAUUGCGAAGGCAGCUGGCGGCGCAAAUAUUGACACUGAGGCGCGAAAGCGUGGGGAGCAAACAGG